UUGGAUAGUUUCUGUUGUCAGUAUGAUUUAAAAAUAGCAAACACAUUUGUUUGAUAAUAAAAGGCUUCACCUAAACGCUAGCCACAAGUGAAAGAAAAGUUUUUGUAUUAUUAUUCAUAUUCUCCGAAAAAUGGCCAAAGACUCAUAAAUUCUGCUAAGGUAUGUAAACUUAUGAGCACAACUGUAUAUGUCAGACUCUUACAUUU
Long non-coding RNA from Sphaeramia orbicularis (orbiculate cardinalfish), 206 nucleotides. RefSeq lists it as uncharacterized. Lineage: Eukaryota; Metazoa; Chordata; Actinopteri; Kurtiformes; Apogonidae. The transcript is spliced from 3 exons. The record is from RefSeq and is a predicted model, not a curated record.